UACGUAGGGGGCGAGCGUUGUCCGGAAUCAUUGGGCGUAAAGCGCGUGUAGGCGGCUUGGUAAGUCCGGUGUGAAACCUUGGGGCUCAACCCCAAGCCUGCACUGGAUACUGCCUCGCUUGAGUCCGGGAGGGGAGAGCGGAAUUCCUAGUGUAGCGGUGAAAUGCGCAGAUAUUAGGAAGAACACCGGUGGCGAAGGCGGCAUCCUGGACCGGUAUUGACGCUGAUGCGCGAAAGCCAGGGGAGCAAACGGG
This 253-nucleotide ribosomal RNA is filed under the name uncultured bacterium. RNAcentral's name for it is "partial 16S ribosomal RNA". It matches the Rfam family "Bacterial small subunit ribosomal RNA", at positions 524 to 776 of the family's 1533-position model. The record is from RNAcentral.